This is a non-coding RNA of Pelobates cultripes (western spadefoot toad), 209 nucleotides long. The record is from the annotation of a GenBank genome assembly. Lineage: Eukaryota; Metazoa; Chordata; Amphibia; Anura; Pelobatidae.
UUGCCUGAAAAUUUAGGUCUUUCAGACUUUUGGUACAUAGCUCCCUAAUACCGUGGGAAUUAGGGAGUUAUCAACGUAUUCAUUCCCAUCCAUUGACGGGUGACACCUGUUACAUGUGAACUAGGGAUGUGUAUGGGGAAAAUAUUCGGUUCCUUUUGGCAUUUCCAAAAUUCGGGACUUCGGCACUUCGGUUUGUUUCGGCACUUCGG